Molecule: long non-coding RNA, 902 nt
Organism: Cyprinus carpio (common carp)
Lineage: Eukaryota; Metazoa; Chordata; Actinopteri; Cypriniformes; Cyprinidae
Source: RefSeq, a predicted model, not a curated record
AGCAUGAGGUGACCGGUCUGUCUGUGUCAAGUUCACUGUUCAGCCCACUGUGUUGCGUGUCGGAGAAUCUCGCUGCGUUCAGUUGUAGUGUGGGCUUAGCUGUGCCAUUGACGCUUGAUCGUUGCUGAGGGGGAUUGCCUCGCGAGUGGGCGGGAAACUGAGACCGCGAAAAAGCAAACAGUCAAGCGCGCUCUGUAGCGGAACGUUCUCGCGCGGUUACCAUGACGCUGAGAGUGGGUAAACGCCGCUCUGUCGCGCUGGCUCUGACCUCUGGGUUGGUAUUUGUUUGAGCUUCCAUUGGACCGUCAUCAUUGUCACCUUAACCUGAUUCCUACCCUUCAGGUCUGGAAUUAACAUCUGAUGUCUCAUCCACAAGAAGAUGAUUUAGGAUCCAGAUGAACCUAAACAGGUUUGAGGGAUGGGUCAUAAACUUGGCCAGAAUCACGUCUUGGCUGCUGGUUUGGGUGGAGGUGGAAAGAAGCGCUAUACAGCCAGCCUGAAUGUACCUGACGACCUCAGAGACCAGAGUCAAACAGAAACAGACUGGGUGGCAUAUAGUCAUUACAGCGCACACAGAUCAAGGCUUUAUGGGAAGGGAAAAUUUCAGCAGGGGCCCAGAGUUUCUGCCUAUGAGUGCUUUUAAAAAUACUGAACUGCUUUUUAGAGUCAGCUUGUGUAGGUGUAUCUAUUCCUGUAUACUUCUCUCUUGGUCAUGCUUUUUAAAAGAAUUUGUAUUUUAUAGUAACCCAAAUGUAUUUCUGUGUAAUGUGCAUAUCAGUGUUUCUCUUAAUUGCUUAUAUAUUUAUUUUCACAAUGUGUAUUCAUGUCAAUUCUGGAAUUUGCACUGGCGAUCUGGUUUUGUAUUACUUUAUUGGACACUGACAUGUUAAUUAAAAUAUUUU